AAAUUGAAGAGUUUGAUCAUGGCUCAGAUUGAACGCUGGCGGCAGGCCUAACACAUGCAAGUCGAACGGUAACAGGAAGCAGCUUGCUGCUUUGCUGACGAGUGGCGGACGGGUGAGUAAUGUCUGGGAAACUGCCUGAUGGAGGGGGAUAACUACUGGAAACGGUAGCUAAUACCGCAUAACGUCGCAAGACCAAAGAGGGGGACCUUAGGGCCUCUUGCCAUCGGAUGUGCCCAGAUGGGAUUAGCUAGUAGG
Molecule: ribosomal RNA, 255 nt
Filed under: Escherichia coli
Lineage: Bacteria; Pseudomonadati; Pseudomonadota; Gammaproteobacteria; Enterobacterales; Enterobacteriaceae
Also listed under: 1 other name
Description: partial 16S ribosomal RNA
Rfam family: Bacterial small subunit ribosomal RNA
Source: RNAcentral